RNAcentral lists this ribosomal RNA (3129 nucleotides) under Mollisia cinerea. RNAcentral's name for it is "partial 18S small subunit ribosomal RNA". The stretch from base 1 to 1639 matches the Rfam family "Eukaryotic small subunit ribosomal RNA", at positions 34 to 1116 of the family's 1831-position model. The record is from RNAcentral. Lineage: Eukaryota; Fungi; Ascomycota; Leotiomycetes; Helotiales; Mollisiaceae.
GUCUCAAAGAUUAAGCCAUGCAUGUCUAAGUAUAAGCAAUCUAUACCGUGAAACUGCGAAUGGCUCAUUAAAUCAGUUAUCGUUUAUUUGAUAGUACCUUACUACUUGGAUAACCGUGGUAAUUCUAGAGCUAAUACAUGCUAAAAACCUCGACUUCGGAAGGGGUGUAUUUAUUAGAUAAAAAACCAAUGCCCUUCGGGGCUCCUUGGUGAUUCAUAAUAACUUAACGAAUCGCAUGGCCUUGUGCCGGCGAUGGUUCAUUCAAAUUUCUGCCCUAUCAACUUUCGAUGGUAUGGUCUUGGCUUACCAUGGUUUCAACGGGUAACGGGGAAUUAGGGUUCGAUUCCGGAGAGGGAGCCUGAGAAACGGCUACCACAUCCAAGGAAGGCAGCAGGCGCGCAAAUUACCCAAUCCCGACACGGGGAGGUAGUGACAAUAAAUACUGAUACAGGGCUCUUUUGGGUCUUGUAAUUGGAAUGAGUACAAUUUAAAUCCCUUAACGANGAACAAUUGGAGGGCAAGUCUGGUUGACUGUUGACGCCAGAGAGAAUUUGAUUUAAUUAGUCAGGCUGUACCGAUGGGAGGUGCAGCUGGGCAAGACAACCUGGAUCGGGGAAGGCUAAGGCUUAGGCUAUGCUAACCCCGAGCUGAGCUGCCUCACGGCAGCCAGUGUAGAGCGCGCAAAGGUGUCGGUUCCCUCCUAGUGAGGGGGCUUAAGGUACGUGCCGAUCCCUGUGAAAACAGGCUGUAAGCUGGAACUCUCCCCAAGAGUAAAGGUUUAAUGGGCUUCCUGUGGGAACGUCGAAUAUAAACGGCCAGCAGCCGCGGUAAUUCCAGCUCCAAUAGCGUAUAUUAAGUUGUUGCAGUUAAAAAGCUCGUAGUUGAACCUUGGGCCUGGUUGGCCGGUCCGCCUCACCGCGUGCACUGGUCCGACCGGGUCUUUCCUUCUGAGGAGCCGCAUGCCCUUCACUGGGUGUGUCGGGGAAUCAGGACUUUUACUUUGAAAAAAUUAGAGUGUUCAAAGCAGGCCUAUGCUCGAAUACAUUAGCAUGGAAUAAUAGAAUAGGACGUGUGGUUCUAUUUUGUUGGUUUCUAGGACCGCCGUAAUGAUUAAUAGGGAUAGUCGGGGGCAUCAGUAUUCAAUUGUCAGAGGUGAAAUUCUUGGAUUUAUUGAAGACUAACUACUGCGAAAGCAUUUGCCAAGGAUGUUUUCAUUAAUCAGUGAACGAAAGUUAGGGGAUCGAAGACGAUUAUUUGGUCGUCGAAAGUAGGAUUCUUACUAGUCUAGGCGAUACAGCCUAGGCAACACCGUCAUUUUGCGGGGACCUUCUAAAGAACCCUCCACACCUUACUGGAAGAAAUUUCAGCAAGUCGUAAUAGUGAGGGUUAUGAUCAGGCUCAGCCUGUGAAAUGGACAAUCCGCAGCUGAACCCUAUUCUUAGUGAUAUGGGUGAAGUUCACAGACUAAACGUCGGUGGGGCUCAUGCCUUAAGAUAUAGUCGAACGCUAUUUGAAAGAAUAGUGGUACAUGCAGAUACCGUCGUAGUCUUAACCAUAAACUAUGCCGACUAGGGAUCGGGCGAUGUUAUCUUUUUGACUCGCUCGGCACCUUACGAGAAAUCAAAGUCUUUGGGUUCUGGGGGGAGNNNNNNNNNNNNNNNNNNNNNNNNNNNNNNNNNNNNNNNNNNNNNNNNNNNNNNNNNNNNNNNNNNNNNNNGCAAAUAGCAGUCUCUGCUCUAAAAAGCACCCCGAGAGGGUGGUGGUGUACCUGGAAUUAUAGUGCUAGUCAGCAAUGGCAACAUCCCCAAAUUGCGGGGAACCCCUAAUGCCCACGGUACCACACAGCGUCGAAAGGCCCUGCACGGUUACAAUCCACGGGAUGUUACAAUGGGUGAUCCGCAGCUGUUCCCUACCGCAGAAAUGCUAUGGGGACGGUUCAGAGACUAAAUGGGAGUGGGAGGCAGUGCCUUUUAAGAUAUAGUCCGGCUAGAAGCUCACACUUCUAGAAUUCAACGGGAGCCUGCGGCUUAAUUUGACUCAACACGGGGAAACUCACCAGGUUAACAUCAGUUACAGUAGUAGUCUGGGCCUGGAAAAGCAGUGAGAUUUCUCGCUGUUAGUGUUCUCAAUCACUGAGAAUGCAACACCACUGGUACAGAGGACACCUUAUUACAAGGUCGAUUCUGUGGCGAGUCAAGGCCUAGCCUGACCGUCGCAACGCGCGCAAAGUGGUGGGCUUGCCAUUAUCAUGGUUGGCUUAAGGUACGUGCUAACCCCGCGGGUAACUGCGCCGGUGUACCCAAGCUUAACGGCUAAAGUCCACGGGGCCCUGUAUUUUAGGGUGGUAUAAAUGCCAGACACAAUAAGGAUUGACAGAUUGAGAGCUCUUUCUUGAUUUUGUGGGUGGUGGUGCAUGGCCGUUCUUAGUUGGUGGAGUGAUUUGUCUGCUUAAUUGCGAUAACGAACGAGACCUUAACCUGCUAAAUAGCCAGGCUAGCUUUGGCUGGUCGCCGGCUUCUUAGAGGGACUAUCGGCUCAAGCCGAUGGAAGUUUGAGGCAAUAACAGGUUAACCUUCACAGGCCUGUAAUAGGGAGGAAACUCCCCUAGUCAUGAUUCAUGGCAACAUUCCUGGUACAGGAGACGCCGAGCCUUAGGGCCAGCCAAUCCUGUGGCGAGUGAGUUCUCUCACCGUCGCAACGCGCGGAAAGGAGUGGGCAGCAUCAGCUGUUUAAGGUACGUGCUAAUCCCCCGGGAAACUGGGCUGGUACACCGAAGCUUACGGGCUAAAUUGUGCUAGAGGUAGCUUAGCUACUCGGUAUACCCUGCUGUGAUGCCCUUAGAUGUUCUGGGCCGCACGCGCGCUACACUGACAGAGCCAACGAGUUCCUUCCUUGACCGAAAGGUCUGGGUAAUCUUGUUAAACUCUGUCGUGCUGGGGAUAGAGCAUUGCAAUUAUUGCUCUUCAACGAGGAAUUCCUAGUAAGCGCAAGUCAUCAGCUUGCGCUGAUUACGUCCCUGCCCUUUGUACACACCGCCCGUCGCUACUACCGAUUGAAUGGCUCAGUGAGGCUUUCGGACUGGCCCAGGGAGAGUGGCAACACUCACCCAGGGCCGGAAAGUUGUUCAAA